This 211-nucleotide long non-coding RNA is filed under the name Brassica napus (rape). RNAcentral's name for it is "long non-coding RNA (BNAP_LNC004095)". Lineage: Eukaryota; Viridiplantae; Streptophyta; Magnoliopsida; Brassicales; Brassicaceae. The record is from RNAcentral.
AGUGUGGCCAGAGAACUGCGUAAGGAUGUGAUGCAUCGUGAACACCUUUUCAUAACCCUCCACUUCGAUAUAACUUUCCAAAAUUUUGGAAGCUCAAAAACUUACGUGAAACAUAAGAGUAUCGACGAUGUAAAACAUUUGUUAUAGCUUUUAAUUAAAAUAAGAAACAAAAUUGUAAGGUGCUCUAUUAAAACGACACGUCAGCAUAAGU